GGUCUUAUAUUCAUUAAUGAUUUAUAUUUGCAAAAUAUAAGGUGUAUAUUAUACUAAGGCUU
This 62-nucleotide transfer RNA is filed under the name Pulchriphyllium giganteum. RNAcentral's name for it is "tRNA-Cys". The record is from RNAcentral. Lineage: Eukaryota; Metazoa; Arthropoda; Insecta; Phasmatodea; Phylliidae.